This 274-nucleotide ribosomal RNA is filed under the name uncultured bacterium. RNAcentral describes it as "partial 16S ribosomal RNA". It matches the Rfam family "Bacterial small subunit ribosomal RNA", at positions 28 to 303 of the family's 1533-position model. The record is from RNAcentral.
GACGAACGCUGGCGGCGUGCUUAACACAUGCAAGUCGAGCGAGGCCCGCCUUCGGGUGGUGUCCUAGCGGCGAACGGGUGAGUAACACGUGGGCAACCUGCCCUCAGCUCUGGGAUAACUCCAAGAAAUUGGGGCGUAAUACCGGAUAUGACCGCUGACCGCAUGGUCUGGUGGUGGAAAGAUUUAUCGGCUGGGGAUGGGCCCGCGGCCUAUCAGCUUGUUGGUGGGGAGUGGCCUACCAAGGCGACGACGGGUAGCCGGCCUGAGAGGGUGA